RNAcentral lists this long non-coding RNA (541 nucleotides) under Helianthus annuus (common sunflower). RNAcentral describes it as "sRNA HanXRQr2_Chr03g0115021". The record is from RNAcentral. Lineage: Eukaryota; Viridiplantae; Streptophyta; Magnoliopsida; Asterales; Asteraceae.
AUGAUAAGGUUUUUCAUAGCAUGGGUUUACGGAUUUAUUUUUGGUUGCACGAAUCUUCUAGGAUGUACCCUACCUGAGCACACUCUCAUCUAGGUGUUGAAUAUUUGAAUUAGACUCGAAAAACUUAGAAAUUUAACUUGAUUCAGAUUAUAGAACUCGAUUUGGUUUUUGAAUUUUCCAAUUGAUUUACAUUCAAUACGAACUUAUAUUUCGAACCAAAAUCGAAUUUUAUAAUUUUUGUUUAGAUUCUAACUUAGAUUUUCAAUUUUGAACGGAAAUCGAAUUAUGAUUUUUUGGCUCAAUGCAAAAUUCGAAUUCAAAUUAAAUAGUUUUUAUUAUAAUUUUUGAAUAAUAUAAGUUUUUUUAAUUGAAUUAUAUCUUUUUUUAUUAAUUUGAAUCGAAUCAACACGAAUUGAAUUAAUUUCUAAUUCAAAUUGCCUUGAUGAAUUUUAUUUGAAUUCAGCUUAAAAUCCAUAAUUCAAAUAACUCGAUUAACUUGGAAUUCGAGUCCCAUAGACAACAGUGAAUAAAAGAAAUUUGC